GACGAACGCUGGCGGCGUGCUUAACACAUGCAAGUCGAACGGACAGGCCCUGCUUUUGUGGGGUUCUCGAUUGGCGAACGGGUGAGUAACACGUGAGUAACCUGCCCUUGACUUUGGGAUAACUUCAGGAAACUGGGGCUAAUACCGGAUAGGAGCUCCUGCUGCAUGGUGGGGGUUGGAAAGUUUCGGCGGUUGGGGAUGGUCUCGCGGCUUAUCAGCUUGUUGGUGGGGUAGUGGAUUACCAAGGCUUUGACGGGUAGCCGGCCUGAGAGGGUGACCGGCGACAUGGGGACUGAGAUACGGCGCAGACUCCUACGGGAGGCAGCAGUGGGGAAUAUUGCACAAUGGGCGGACGCCUGAUGCAGCAACGCCGCGUGCGGGAUGACGGCCUUCGGGUUGUAAACCGCUUUCGCCUGUGACGAAGAGUGAGUGACGGUAAUGGGUAAAGAAGCACCGGCUAACUACGUG
This 468-nucleotide ribosomal RNA is filed under the name uncultured bacterium. RNAcentral's name for it is "partial 16S ribosomal RNA". It matches the Rfam family "Bacterial small subunit ribosomal RNA", at positions 28 to 507 of the family's 1533-position model. The record is from RNAcentral.